AAAAAACUAAUUAAAUUUAUAAUUUUUAAAAGUUUUUCUAGCUUUGAAAUUUAUAUUUUUUUAUAAUAUAUAUAAAUUUUUGUAUAAAAUAUUAAUAAUUUAAAUUUUUAUUAUUAUAUAUAAUAUUAAAUAUUAAAAAUUAAAGUAAUUUAGAUUUAGUAAAAAUAAUAUUAUUAAUAAAAUUUGUGCCAGCAAUUGCGGUUAUACAAAUAAUAAAAUAAAUAUUAUAUUUAAUUAAUUAAUAGUUUAUUUUUAUUAAAAAUAAUUUUAUAACGGUAAAAUUUUAAUUAAUUAAAAUUAAUAAUUAUAUAAAAAUAUGAAAUUAAAUAAAUUUAAUUAAAAACUAGGAUUAGAUACCCUAUUAUUUUAUUCAAAUUAUAUAAUUAAUAAUAAGUAAUUAUUUAUUUUUUAAAAUUUAAAGAAAUUGGCAGUAUUUUAAUCUAUUUAGAGGAAUCUGUUUAAUAAUUGAUAUUCCACGAUUAAUUUUACUUUAUUUAUAAAAUUUAUAUAUUGUUGUUAUAAAAUUUAUUUAAAAAUAAAAAAUUUUAAAAUUAUUAUAAAAAUUAUAUCAAAUCAAAAUGUAGUAUACAAUAAAGAAUAUUAUGGAUUAUAAUAAAUUAAUUUUUUAGAUAAUAUAAUUAAAAUUGUAUUUGAAUUUAGAUUUAAAUGUAAUUAAAAAUAGUUAUUUUUAAUGAUUUAGUUUUAAAAUAUGCACAUAUUGCCCGUCACUUCCAUAAAAUUGGAAUAAGUCGUAACAAAGUAAGAGUAUUGGAAAAUGUUCUUAGAAAGAC
This 791-nucleotide non-coding RNA is filed under the name Molanna angustata. The record is from RNAcentral. Lineage: Eukaryota; Metazoa; Arthropoda; Insecta; Trichoptera; Molannidae.